AAAAAAAAAAAAACAUAACAUAUUUACAUCAUUUAAUUAAAAUAAUAAAAUUUAAAUUAUUUUGUUAACUAAUCAAAACAACUAAUUAAAUAAAAUAAGUUGUAUAACAUAAUUACAUCAUUUAAUCAAAGUUUUCAUUAUUUAGCCAACACUUUACCUUUCUCAGGGAGAAACUUGACGAGGCCAAUAAAGAAAACAAGUUGCUUGAGAAAAGAUUGAAUUUGAGUUGGGUAUUAUUGGCUAUUGACAAUCUUCACUUUUCCACCUUAAGCCCAAGCCAUUUCAUUACGGUUCUUAAGCAGACUAUUAAAACUAUUAGGAAUCUGCUGGCUGGGAUCUAGAUGCUGCUGCCAAUUGAAGCCUAAGUUCACAUUUGCAAAAUUUUGCUGCACCAAGUAUUUGCUACUUAUUCAUCCCAAGAUGGAAGCAUCUCUAUUCGAAAACUUAAAUCAGAGACAUUCGGUGGGAUCCGGAGAAAAGGGAUAAACUAAUACACCCAACAGAACAAGGAUAAAUCAAACAUAGGAAAGAAGGGAUCAAAAAUCAGACAAUAAAACAUAAGAAAGGAGGGAUCACAAAUUAGACAAAAUUUGAGGAAACUCAUAAAGAACAAACUCUGGAUUUCUUUCGCGACAAACAAAAAUUAGAGAGCAUCACCUUCUGUUGGCCGGAGUUUUGCAGGAAUCUUCCCUUCCGUAGCAAAUUUGUUCGUAGCGAGAGAGAUGGUUGGGAGAAUCCGUAGCAAACUUGUUCGUAGAAAGAAAGAUGGUUGGGUUAGAGAGAGAAGUGGAUGGUUCAUCUGAGACCUCACACUCAUUUGACCCA
RNAcentral lists this long non-coding RNA (825 nucleotides) under Panax ginseng (ginseng). Its description in RNAcentral is "long non-coding RNA (PGIN_LNC007838)". The record is from RNAcentral. Lineage: Eukaryota; Viridiplantae; Streptophyta; Magnoliopsida; Apiales; Araliaceae.